AGUGGCCUAGUGGUCUGACGUCCGCCUGGCAACCCAGGGAUCGCGGGUUCGAGUCCGGGU
RNAcentral lists this transfer RNA (60 nucleotides) under Oxyrrhis marina. Lineage: Eukaryota; Dinophyceae; Oxyrrhinales; Oxyrrhinaceae. The record is from RNAcentral.